GUGCCAGCAGCCGCGGUAAGACGAACCGUGCGAACGUUGUUCGGAAUCACUGGGCUUAAAGGGCGCGUAGGCGGCCAGCCAAGUCCGGGGUGAAAGCCCCCGGCUCAACCGGGGAAGGGCCUUGGAUACUGGCUGGCUGGAGGGAGGUAGGGGCAGCUGGAACUUCCGGUGGAGCGGUGAAAUGCGUUGAUAUCGGAAGGAACGCCGGUGGCGAAAGCGGAUUGCUGGACCUUUUCUGACGCUGAGGCGCGAAAGCCAGGGGAGCGAACGGGAUUAGAAACCCCCGUAGUCC
RNAcentral lists this ribosomal RNA (292 nucleotides) under uncultured bacterium. RNAcentral describes it as "partial 16S ribosomal RNA". It matches the Rfam family "Bacterial small subunit ribosomal RNA", at positions 505 to 796 of the family's 1533-position model. The record is from RNAcentral.